RNAcentral lists this transfer RNA (96 nucleotides) under Arsenicicoccus piscis. RNAcentral describes it as "tRNA-Sec". It matches the Rfam family "Selenocysteine transfer RNA". The record is from RNAcentral. Lineage: Bacteria; Bacillati; Actinomycetota; Actinomycetes; Micrococcales; Intrasporangiaceae.
GGAGGCGUCAGGGUGCCUGGUGGCCCCCACGGUCUUCAAAACCGAUGAGACCGAGCAUCUCGGUCUGGCGGGUUCGAUUCCCGUCCGCCUCCGCCA